RNAcentral lists this long non-coding RNA (1169 nucleotides) under Sparus aurata (gilthead seabream). RNAcentral's name for it is "lncRNA (ENSSAUG00010000757.1)". The record is from RNAcentral. Lineage: Eukaryota; Metazoa; Chordata; Actinopteri; Spariformes; Sparidae.
AUAAUAAUGAAAAUGAUAAUCGGAUGUAACUAAAUGUGUAACAUCCGCAGCUGUUUCCACUCAAGCUGAACAUUCCAGGUUUUCCAGGUUGAGCAUAUAUAGUGUGUCUGAUAUCCCAGUGGCACUGAGCAAUCAGCAGAAAGUUGCCUGAGGACACCACUCUGAAUCAAGCAUCCCCCAUCAACAUUCUGCUGAUCCAAUCCGGAUUGCAACAGUCCAGCCCAGAAUAAGAAACGUACUUUUAGUUCUACUUUUUAUUCAACAACACUGCACAAAUCUAGAAGAAAGAAAUUAAAGGCACAUCUAUCCGAACACUACACACACUUGUGAAAGCGGCCAACAUAUCUGCUGGAAAAUCCUCAGACAGUCACAGAACAUCAGCGACUGUAAUCAUCCAGCACAGCCUGUAUCACAGCAUGCAGACAGACGGAGAACUGUUGCCUGUGCAGUGCAGAGAAGGAAAGAGAGCCAGCGAGGCAGAGAGAGAAGAAUCUGAGGGCUUCUUACCUGCUUCCUUCACAUCCUGCUCGGCUGCUGAAGGCAGGACGGCUCCCGGUCCGCACUGAGGAACCGCUGAGAAAGAGAGCGAGGAGAGGAAGACAGGCUGAGAGAGCUGUGUCCAGCAGAACCAACUUCACCCCGGAUCACAUGUGUGCCUUCCUCUGUCUGAUGACCACCUCCUUCCAGUACAGUGAAGGCUUCUACAGACAGAAGCAGCUGUGUCAUGGGCUCACCAGAGUGGUCAACCUCUACAUGGAAGAAGUUGAGAGCAGAGCCUUGAUUACCUUCACAGGACCUGCUCCUAGACACUGGUUCAGGUAUGUGGACGACACCUGCGUCAAGAACAGAACAUACUAAUGCUGUGGACAAUAUCAUCAAGUUCACAUGACAAGAUGUCUUUGACUGUGCAGUGCACACUGAAGAAGUCAGAAGCCUCAACACUGAGGUGUACAGAGAAGCUACACACACAGAUACUUGAUGUUUGACUCUCAUCACCCACUGUAGAACAAGCUAGUGGUCAUCACAACCCUAAACCAUCGAGCUGAGACUGUGCCCACUAAGUCAGAGGGGAAGGAGAAGGAACAGAGGCACAUCAGGGGAUCACUUAAACCUGUGGUACCCAAUCUGGACCUUUGUCAAAACCUCUAAAAACAUCCAGAACAGACAGA